RNAcentral lists this ribosomal RNA (253 nucleotides) under uncultured bacterium. RNAcentral describes it as "partial 16S ribosomal RNA". It matches the Rfam family "Bacterial small subunit ribosomal RNA", at positions 524 to 776 of the family's 1533-position model. The record is from RNAcentral.
UACGGGGGGGGCAAGCGUUGUUCGGAAUUACUGGGCGUAAAGGGCUCGUAGGCGGCCAACUAAGUCGGAUGUGAAAUCCCCAGGCUUAACCUGGGAACUGCAUCCGAUACUGGAUGGCUUGAAUUCGGGAGAGGGAUGCAGAAUUCCAGGUGUAGCGGUGAAAUGCGUAGAUAUCUGGAGGAAUACCGGUGGCGAAGGCGGAUCUCUGGGCCUUACCUGACGCUCAGGCACGAAAGCUAGGGGAGCGAACAGG